UUUAAUGAAAAUCCAAACGUGAGUCAGAGUGGCCUCCCUCCACCUGAGCUCAGUCCCUCUUCCGCCGCACCGGAGGUCGCCUCUGAUGGCGGGUCUUUAAUGACCAAAUAAAGCACAUCACCUCCUCCAAUUUAAAGUCCCGAGCUUGAAAAUCACGGUUAAAUAGCCUAAAUUUUCAAGAACAACAUGAAUCAAAGGUAAAAAGGGGAAGAACCCUAGAAAUCAAGUGGAAAUUAAAUCGUGCUCUCUCGAAACCAAACCAUCGGGGUUAGGGCUUUGAUUCCCCUAAUCGAACCUCACAUCUCAGUAACUUAUAUACAGUCAACUAAUGAAGAUGAAGGUAGAACUUACCGGAGCAUCGCCGGAGUCAGGUAAGAAAUCUUUGAAUCCUCUCGAAACUUAUUCUUCCUUUCUGUUCUUCUUUUCUACUUCUUCUCAACUUCUUCUAAAAAUUGUCUGAAUUGUGAGAUUUAACCGUGGGUUCGAUAUAUAUAUAUAUAUAGAGAGAGAGGGGGGAUUGUGAGUGAGGUCAAGCUCUACUAUGUUGAAGCUUCAAGGUGAAGAUUCAAUUGAGUAUGUUAAAGGAGCUCUAGAUGAGAGUGCAGAGGAAAGUUCUGAGAUGAAAGUUGAAUCUCGAAAUUCUGAGAAGGGUGAAAAUGAAUUGUAUUCCUCGGUGAUGAAUAAUUGCAGAGUAUUUAUAGAUUUUAGGUCCUUCAAAUUUCUGUUAGAAAUGCCAAAUGAAAUUCAACUGAAAUUCACAAGUUAGUUGGAAAUUAGAAAUUUUGUUAGAGUGAAUAUGAGUGAAAGAUUAGUUUAUUAUCAUUGCAAAUUCAGUUAGUUGAAUUAGGAUUAUAUGUGUGCUGCAUUAGGUUAAUUAUUAUGGUCUUCUUCUGUUAAGAGAAAUUUUGUAGGGUGGAUGUUAAUUAUGCAAGAGAAACGUAUGAUUUAUGUUUUGUUAAAAGUUAAGCAUGAUGUAUGCUUUGGUUCUUAAUGAACUUGGUGUGUUUCAUUUAAAACAGGUGCAUGGCUAUGAGAAUGAUGGAACUUCCAAUUGGUGUUCCGUUAAAAACGUGCAGGGUUCUAUUGGUUGAAAUUGGAGGGGGUAAGUUGAACAUGGUUUUGCUCUAUUAUGUAAUUUAUUACAAGCUGAAAAUGAAAUUUGCACUGUUAUGUUUGUAGGUUGGAAGAUUUUUUUUGCAAGGAUGAGCUGAUGUGAGAUGCUAUGGAAUAUCAUUUUACCCUGUUAGAAGCAAAUGAAUGAUUUAUAGACUGUUGCUUUGAUAUGCUUGGAUUGUGUAUUGAAUAUCAUGGACUAUGGGAUUGUGUAAAAUUGACUAGAGACUUAGGAUUUCUCAAAUGGUUGAAUAUUGUAAUUGUAUAAAAUGGUGUGGUCUGUUUAAUGUGUAAUGAAAAGUUAAUUGAAUUUGAAUUGAAUGGAUUAAUGGUUAUGGAAUUUAAUGUGUGCACUGAAUUUGUAGGAUGGUGUAUUGCAUUGAUUUGUAAUGGAAAGUUAUUGAAUGUUAAGAUUGUUAUGGAAAGUUAAUUGAAUGAAUGCUUGAAUGGUUUAUGGAGUUGUACUUCAAUGUGUAAAUAUUUGGACUGAAUGUUGUUU
This 1612-nucleotide long non-coding RNA is filed under the name Lathyrus oleraceus (garden pea). RNAcentral describes it as "Pisum sativum (pea) long non-coding RNA (PSAT_LNC032409)". Lineage: Eukaryota; Viridiplantae; Streptophyta; Magnoliopsida; Fabales; Fabaceae. The record is from RNAcentral.